UCUUCAUGCAAAAUAUUAUUAUUAUUUCAAUUUUUUUUCUUUUGAUUUUGAGGUGAAAUAUGAGCUGGAGGAGAUGCACUGAGCAUCUCGUCUGUCUCCUGUAGUGUUUCUGUAUGUCACUCGCACACGUGUUUUUGUUGUAGUCAGUUUUAGAAAGCGUCUCAUGAAUGAUAAUGAGAAUAAACUGAUGGUUAUUAUUGUGUGACCAAUCCAGAAUCUGGAAAUGACACAAUCAA
This is a long non-coding RNA of Sinocyclocheilus grahami, 236 nucleotides long. RefSeq lists it as uncharacterized. Lineage: Eukaryota; Metazoa; Chordata; Actinopteri; Cypriniformes; Cyprinidae. The transcript has 3 exons. The record is from RefSeq and is a predicted model, not a curated record.